Molecule: ribosomal RNA, 504 nt
Filed under: uncultured bacterium
Lineage: Bacteria
Description: partial 16S ribosomal RNA
Rfam family: Bacterial small subunit ribosomal RNA
Source: RNAcentral
AUUGAACGCUGGCGGCAGGCCUAACACAUGCAAGUCGAACGGUAGCACAGAGAGCUUGCUCUCGGGUGACGAGUGGCGGACGGGUGAGUAAUGUCUGGGAAACUGCCCGAUGGAGGGGGAUAACUACUGGAAACGGUAGCUAAUACCGCAUAACGUCGCAAGACCAAAGUGGGGGACCUUCGGGCCUCACGCCAUCGGAUGUGCCCAGAUGGGAUUAGCUAGUAGGUGGGGUAAUGGCUCACCUAGGCGACGAUCCCUAGCUGGUCUGAGAGGAUGACCAGCCACACUGGAACUGAGACACGGUCCAGACUCCUACGGGAGGCAGCAGUGGGGUAUAUUGCACAAUGGGCGCAAGCCUGAUGCAGCCAUGCCGCGUGUAUGAAGAAGGCCUUCGGGUUGUAAAGUACUUUCAGCGGGGAGGAAGGCGGUGGAGUUAAUAACUUCACCGAUUGACGUUACCCGCAGAAGAAGCACCGGCUAACUCCGUGCCAGCAGCCGCCGUAA